Chelonia mydas (Green sea turtle) is the source of this 720-nucleotide long non-coding RNA. RefSeq lists it as uncharacterized. The transcript has 2 exons. NCBI's taxonomy places the organism in Eukaryota, Metazoa, Chordata, Testudines, Cheloniidae. The record is from RefSeq and is a predicted model, not a curated record.
CUGAUAAAAGGGCUGGGAGCCGCGUAGAGGGAGUCUCACUCCAGUGGUGGAGUGCGAAGGACCUGGCUGCUAGCUAGAGAAGUGUAUCUCAAACAGAGCCGUGCUGGAGAAGGGCAGGCAGAGCUAGGGAACACUGGCCAGUUGAGACCCCAAGGUCUGUGGGGGUACUGAGGCUGCAGUGGUGCAGCCAGGCCAGGAAAAGGCAGCAGGUCCAAACCCCCUUGCCCAUGAUGAGUGGCCAUUUCAGCCUACAAUUUGCCCCUGAGAAAAGGAGCUAGAUGAAGACUGGCAGUCGGUCUCUGAGGCAAGGUUGUGGUAACCUGUAUCUGAACUGUUUAAUGGAUGAAUUAUCCUGUGCUAAUUACCAUGAUGUUUAGGAGAAGGGAAGUUAAGCCUAUUGUUUUCUCAGGCCAAGAGGCUGCUGGAAAUGUAUAAAAACCCUGGGACAGGAUCCUUCUUCAUCUCAGAUCUGCUUUGGGUUUCAAGAAGGGGAAACCUUAAACCAUAAGGAUUGAGAUGCCCAGUCACUGACUGGAGUCACCCUGAAGAUGGACACUGGACUAUAACCUAUAGACUAUUUCCAAAAGGACUUCUGGCAACUACAAGCUCAUCUCUGCUCUGUAUCUGAAUCGCAAGAAUUGAAUUCAAGUCUGUAGGUAUAUUGAUCUCUUAACCAACACUCUCUCUUUUCUUUUUUAAUAAAUUUUAGUUGAGAAUUGA